AAAUUGAAGAGUUUGAUCAUGGCUCAGAUUGAACGCUGGCGGCAGGCCUAACACAUGCAAGUCGAACGGUAACAGGAAGCAGCUUGCUGCUUCGCUGACGAGUGGCGGACGGGUGAGUAAUGUCUGGGAAACUGCCUGAUGGAGGGGGAUAACUACUGGAAACGGUAGCUAAUACCGCAUAAUGUCGCAAGACCAAAGAGGGGGACCUUCGGGCCUCUUGCCAUCGGAUGUGCCCGG
This 237-nucleotide ribosomal RNA is filed under the name Escherichia coli. RNAcentral describes it as "partial 16S ribosomal RNA". It matches the Rfam family "Bacterial small subunit ribosomal RNA", at positions 1 to 234 of the family's 1533-position model. The record is from RNAcentral. Lineage: Bacteria; Pseudomonadati; Pseudomonadota; Gammaproteobacteria; Enterobacterales; Enterobacteriaceae.